GAUGAAGAACGUAGCGAAAUGCGAUACGUAAUGUGAAUUGCAAAUUCAGUGAAUCAUCGAGUCUUUGAACGCACAUUGCGCCCCCUGGUAUUCCGGGGGGCAUGCCUGUCCGAGCGUCAUUGCUGCCCUCAAGCACGGCUUGUGUGUUGGGCCCCGUCCUCCGAUCCCGGGGGACGGGCCCGAAAGGCAGCGGCGGCACCGCGUCCGGUCCUCGAGCGUAUGGGGCUUUGUCACCCGCUCUGUAGGCCCGGCCGGCGCUUGCCGAUCAACCCAAAUUUUUUAUCCAGGUUGACCUCGGAUCAGGUAGGGAUACCCGCUGAACUUAAGCGUAUCAAUAAGCGGAGGA
Molecule: unclassified non-coding RNA, 346 nt
Filed under: soil metagenome
Description: partial contains 5.8S ribosomal RNA, internal transcribed spacer 2, and large subunit ribosomal RNA
Rfam family: 5.8S ribosomal RNA (bases 1-119)
Source: RNAcentral